This 200-nucleotide ribosomal RNA is filed under the name uncultured bacterium. Its description in RNAcentral is "partial 16S ribosomal RNA". It matches the Rfam family "Bacterial small subunit ribosomal RNA", at positions 373 to 576 of the family's 1533-position model. The record is from RNAcentral.
GGGCGAAAGCCUGACGCAGCGAGCCGCGUGGGGGAUGAAGGUCUUCGGAUUNUAAACCCCUUUCGGGAGGGAAGAUCNGACGGGCAACCGUUCGGACGGUACCUCCAGAAGCAGCCACGGCUAACUUCGUGCCAGCAGCCGCGGUAAUACGAAGGUGGCAAGCGUUGUUCGGAUUUACUGGGCGUACAGGGAGCGUAGGC